RNAcentral lists this ribosomal RNA (465 nucleotides) under Vreelandella stevensii. RNAcentral's name for it is "partial 16S ribosomal RNA". It matches the Rfam family "Bacterial small subunit ribosomal RNA", at positions 338 to 795 of the family's 1533-position model. The record is from RNAcentral. Lineage: Bacteria; Pseudomonadati; Pseudomonadota; Gammaproteobacteria; Oceanospirillales; Halomonadaceae.
CCUACGGGUGGCAGCAGGGGGGAAUAUUGGACAAUGGGCGAAAGCCUGAUCCAGCCAUGCCGCGUGUGUGAAGAAGGCCUUCGGGUUGUAAAGCACUUUCAGUGGGGAAGAAAGCCUUGGGGCUAAUACCCUCGAGGAAGGACAUCACCCACAGAAGAAGCACCGGCUAACUCCGUGCCAGCAGCCGCGGUAAUACGGAGGGUGCGAGCGUUAAUCGGAAUUACUGGGCGUAAAGCGCGCGUAGGCGGUCUGAUAAGCCGGUUGUGAAAGCCCCGGGCUCAACCUGGGAACGGCAUCCGGAACUGUCAGGCUAGAGUGCAGGAGAGGAAGGUAGAAUUCCCGGUGUAGCGGUGAAAUGCGUAGAGAUCGGGAGGAAUACCAGUGGCGAAGGCGGCCUUCUGGACUGACACUGACGCUGAGGUGCGAAAGCGUGGGUAGCAAACAGGAUUAGAUACCCCAGUAGUC